GUUCCUAGUCGGAUUCAUUAACCACUGUGCCACAACAGGAAUUCCUCCAGUUAUGCUUGGACAAGAUAGUGGACAACACUUGGGCCCAGGAUGGCAGCCAGCGGGGUCAGCAGGAUGACCAGACUCAAGCUCAGGUAGGAGCUCCCAUGUACCUGGAUAUGGAGGGGCUGGGGUUGGGAACUGUGUAUACAGCUGUUGACAUUUCCUUUAUGGGGGGACCUGCUGAGCAUCCAGUCCAAGCCACUCCUUUGAAAUGGAACGGCCUCCUUGGAGUCACAUUCCAGGGAAAGGAAAUCAGGAACCAUUUUUUCUGGAGAUAGGCAGCAUGUUGUGAUUUCAUGCAAUAGACUUAUAAGGAGGAGCUUCUUGGAAUUUUGGAAACACAAAGGAAUUCUGUUAAAAAUGUUAUUCUUCCUCCCAAGCGGUUGGGAUGCGGGCCUCCAGGAAGUUUCUGGUCUCUGAUUCCAGGGAGGAAAGUGGAUAGAGAGUGGCCUUGCCUGAAGCAUGCAGAUGUUUCCAGGCCAGGGAUGGAACCCGCUCCAUAGCAGUGACCCAAGCCUCUACAGUGACAUCGCUGGAUCCUUGACUUGCUGUAGCGCAAGAGAACUCUGACAGUCAUCUUCCUAUCAUCUACUCGAGUCUUUCCCAGGAUCCAAUUUUAGCGAGAAAUAUAAAAUAAAACCCAUCUGGUAUCACUUCAGAGA
Molecule: long non-coding RNA, 704 nt
Organism: Phacochoerus africanus (Common warthog)
Lineage: Eukaryota; Metazoa; Chordata; Mammalia; Artiodactyla; Suidae
Exons: 2
Source: RefSeq, a predicted model, not a curated record